Molecule: ribosomal RNA, 490 nt
Filed under: uncultured bacterium
Lineage: Bacteria
Description: partial 16S ribosomal RNA
Rfam family: Bacterial small subunit ribosomal RNA
Source: RNAcentral
GAUGAACGCUAGCUACAGGCUUAACACAUGCAAGUCGCGGGGCAGCAUGGGGGUUGCUUGCAACUCCCGAUGGCGACCGGCGCACGGGUGAGUAACGCGUAUCCAACCUGCCCUUCACCACGGGAUAACCCGGCGAAAGUCGGACUAAUACCGUAUGUUGUCCAUUGACGGCAUCCGAUUUGGACGAAAGGCUUUGCGGUGAAGGAUGGGGAUGCGUCCGAUUAGCCAGACGGCGGGGUAACGGCCCACCGUGGCUACGAUCGGUAGGGGUUCUGAGAGGAAGGUCCCCCACACUGGAACUGAGACACGGUCCAGACUCCUACGGGAGGCAGCAGUGAGGAAUAUUGGUCAAUGGGCGUAAGCCUGAACCAGCCAAGUAGCGUGCAGGAUGACGGCCCUAUGGGUUGUAAACUGCUUUUAUGCGGGGAUAAAGUGGCCCACGUGUGGGCUUUUGCAGGUACCGCAUGAAUAAGGACCGGCUAAUUCCGUG